Molecule: ribosomal RNA, 292 nt
Filed under: uncultured eukaryote
Lineage: Eukaryota
Description: partial 18S ribosomal RNA
Rfam family: Eukaryotic small subunit ribosomal RNA
Source: RNAcentral
GGUUGAUCCUGCCAGUAGUCAUAUGCUUGUCUCAAAGAUUAAGCCAUGCAUGUCUCAGUGUAAACUUUUAAACAGUGAAACUGCGAAUGGCUCAUUAAAACAGUUAUAGUUUAUUUGAUAAUCAUUUUUACAUGGAUAACCGUGGGAAUUCUAGGGCUAAUACAUGCGUAAGACCCGCAAGGGUUGUGUUUAUUAGAUUUUAAAUCAACUCUGGCUUGCCAGAUAUGUUGGAAUGAUAAUAACCGAUCGAAUCGCACGCUUCGUAGUGGCGAUAAAUCAUUCAAGUUUCUGA